RNAcentral lists this ribosomal RNA (288 nucleotides) under uncultured bacterium. Its description in RNAcentral is "partial 16S ribosomal RNA". The record is from RNAcentral.
CUGCUGCCUCCCGUAGGGGUCUGGGCCGUAUCUCAGUCCCAAUGUGGCCGGAUCGACCUCUCAGUCCGGCUACCCAUCGUCGGCUAGGUGGGCCUCUACCCCGCCUACUACCUAAUGGGCCGCGACCCCAUCCCGCGCCGUCGGGGCUUUCCCGCCGCCCCCAUGCGGGGGCCGCGGAGUAUCCGGUAUUAGCCGCCGUUUCCAGCGGUUGUCCCGGAGCGCGGGGCAGGUUGGUCACGUGUUACUCACCCGUUCGCCACUGUAUGUCCGCCCGAGGGCGUUUAACCG